This 214-nucleotide ribosomal RNA is filed under the name Paenibacillus polymyxa. Its description in RNAcentral is "partial 23S ribosomal RNA". It matches the Rfam family "Bacterial large subunit ribosomal RNA", at positions 1371 to 1582 of the family's 2925-position model. Lineage: Bacteria; Bacillati; Bacillota; Bacilli; Caryophanales; Paenibacillaceae. The record is from RNAcentral.
CGCUCAGGGUAAGUCGGGACCUAAGGCGAGGCCGAUAGGCGUAGUCGAAGGACAACAGGUCGAAAUUCCUGUACCACCGUAAUCCGCUAUGAGCGAUGGGGUGACGCAGUAGGGUAGUGACGCGGACGGAUGGAUGUCCGUCUAAGCAGUGAGGCUGGUGUGUAGGCAAAUCCGCACAUCGUUAAGGCUGGGCUGUGAUGGGGAGCGAAAAUUG